This 864-nucleotide non-coding RNA is filed under the name Nangura spinosa. The record is from RNAcentral. Lineage: Eukaryota; Metazoa; Chordata; Lepidosauria; Squamata; Scincidae.
UCCCAAAAACACAAAGUUUUGGUCCUAAACUUGCCAUUGUUUUUUACUAAAAUUAUACAUGCAAGCCUCCACACACCAGUGAGAAUGCCCACACACCCUAAAAAGAAAGCCGGAGCAGGCAUCAGGAUACUACACCCAUUUUAGCCUAAAACGCCUUGCACAUGCCACACCCACAAGGGCCCACAGCAGUAAUUAACAUUAAAAAUAAGCGAAAGCUCGAUUUAGUUAUAGUAAACAUGGCCGGUAAAUUUCGUGCCAGCCACCGCGGUUAUACGAAAGGCCAAAAACAACGACCAACGGCGUAAAGCGUGACUAGGACAACAAGACCUUUAAAGAAGUAUAACUGCCAGGCUGUAAAACACUACUGCAGAUUAGAACCACAGCAAUAACAAUGCCUUUAAACCCACCUCUCUCACGAAAGCUAAGAAACAAACUGGGAUUAGAUACCCCACUAUGCUUAGCCCUAAACACAAAUAGUAUAAACACAAUACGAUUCGCCAGAGAACUACAAGCGAAAAGCUUAAAACCCCAAGGACUUGGCGGUGCUUCAAACCAACCUAGAGGAGCCUGUCCUAUAACCGAUACCCCCCGUUUUACCUUACCCCUCCUAGCCAACCAGCCUAUAUACCGCCGUCGUCAGCCUACCUUAUGAAAGAAAUAAAGUGGACAAAAAAGUCAAUGACUAACACGUCAGGUCAAGGUGUAGCACAUGGAGCGGCAGAGAUGGGCUACAUUUUUUCAAAGACAAAACACGAAUAGUGAACUGAAAUACAUACUUAAAGGCGGAUUUAGUAGUAAAAUAAAUAAGAACAUUCAUUUUAAACCUGCUCUGAAGCGCGUACACACCGCCCGUCACCCUCAUCG